CUCGAGAAAAAAAACUGCAAAUGUAAACUGAUUUUAACAAAAACCAAGAAAAAAAGACUUUUAUUCAGUCACUGGUUCCUUUUCAGCUUCAUUUUAAAUGUUUCAAUGCCAGUUUUGUUUUUCGUUUUUUUGAGUACCAAAAUCAGGUGUCAGCUUUCUUUAUGCAUAUACAAAAACUAAAGUGCAACACUGCCACCUACUGGUGCAGAGGCUACAGAAAUGUUGGACAGAUGAGAAAGGAGAGAGUGCAGCAGGAUGCUUAUGAUGCGUGUCAUUUGGUGAUGAUGAUGGUGGCAACACUAUGACUUACAUCACUGUGAAAGCUUCCUCCUCUACCUCUGAAGUUUCCACUGAUCCCA
Molecule: long non-coding RNA, 359 nt
Filed under: Oreochromis niloticus (Nile tilapia)
Lineage: Eukaryota; Metazoa; Chordata; Actinopteri; Cichliformes; Cichlidae
Description: lncRNA (ENSONIG00000037223.1)
Source: RNAcentral